This 134-nucleotide ribosomal RNA is filed under the name Triticum dicoccoides. RNAcentral describes it as "rRNA SSU_rRNA_eukarya". It matches the Rfam family "Bacterial small subunit ribosomal RNA", at positions 1388 to 1520 of the family's 1533-position model. Lineage: Eukaryota; Viridiplantae; Streptophyta; Magnoliopsida; Poales; Poaceae. The record is from RNAcentral.
CACCGCCCGUCAUACUAUAGAAAUUGUCCAUGUUUGAAGUCAUUACCCUUAACUUUAAGGAGGGGGAUGCCUAAGGCUAGGCUUGCGACUGGAGUGAAGUCGUAACAAGGUAGCCGUACUGGAAGGUGCGGCUG